This 253-nucleotide ribosomal RNA is filed under the name uncultured bacterium. RNAcentral's name for it is "partial 16S ribosomal RNA". It matches the Rfam family "Bacterial small subunit ribosomal RNA", at positions 524 to 776 of the family's 1533-position model. The record is from RNAcentral.
UACGUAGGGGCUAGCGUUGUCCGGAAUCAUUGGGCGUAAAGAGCGUGUAGGCGGCCCGGUAAGUCCGCUGUGAAAGUCGGGGGCUCAACCCUCGAAUGCCGGUGGAUACUGUCGGGCUAGAGUGCGGAAGAGGCGAGUGGAAGUUCUGGUGUAGCGGUGAAAUGACGCAGAUAUCAGGAGGAACACCGAUUGCGAAGGCAGCUCGCUGGGACGUAACUGACGCUGAGACGCGAAAGCGUGGGGAGCGAACAGG